AAGACCUUGCACUUUUGGAGCGGCCGAUGUCUGAUUAGCUAGUUGGUAGGGUAAUGGCCUACCAAAGCUUCGAUCAGUAGCUGGUCUGAGAGGACGACCAGCCACACUGGGACUGAGACACGGCCCAGACUCCUACGGGAGGCAGCAGUGGGGAAUUUUGGACAAUGGGGGAAACCCUGAUCCAGCCAUGCCGCGUGAGUGAAGAAGGCCUUCGGGUUGUAAAGCUCUUUCAGUCGGGAAGAAAAGGUUACGGUUAAUAACUGUAAUUCAUGACGGUACCGACAGAAGAAGCACCGGCUAACUACGUGCCAGCAGCCGCGGUAAUACGUAGGGUGCGAGCGUUAAUCGGAAUUACUGGGCGUAAAGGGUGCGCAGGCGGUUUUGUAAGUCAGAUGUGAAAUCCCCGGGCUUAACCUGGGAAC
RNAcentral lists this ribosomal RNA (422 nucleotides) under uncultured bacterium. Its description in RNAcentral is "bacterial SSU rRNA". It matches the Rfam family "Bacterial small subunit ribosomal RNA", at positions 207 to 621 of the family's 1533-position model. The record is from RNAcentral.